This 331-nucleotide unclassified non-coding RNA is filed under the name soil metagenome. RNAcentral's name for it is "partial contains 5.8S ribosomal RNA, internal transcribed spacer 2, and large subunit ribosomal RNA". The stretch from base 1 to 120 matches the Rfam family "5.8S ribosomal RNA", at positions 35 to 154 of the family's 154-position model. The record is from RNAcentral.
GAUGAAGAACGCAGCGAAAUGCGAUAAGUAGUGUGAAUUGCAGAAUUCAGUGAAUCAUCGAAUCUUUGAACGCACAUUGCGCCCUUUGGUAUUCCUUAGGGCAUGCCUGUUCGAGCGUCAUUUAAACCUUCAAGCUAAGCUUGGUGUUGGGUGACUGUCCGCUUCACGGCGGACUCGCCUCAAAAUUAUUGGCGGCCGGUACAUUGGCUUCGAGCGCAGCAGAAACGCGAACUCGGGCCCGUCGUAUUGGCUCCCAGAAGCUAUCUUCACAAUUUUGACCUCGGAUCAGGUAGGGAUACCCGCUGAACUUAAGCAUAUCAAUAAGCGGAGG